Etheostoma spectabile (orangethroat darter) is the source of this 112-nucleotide small nuclear RNA. RefSeq annotates it as U5 spliceosomal RNA. Lineage: Eukaryota; Metazoa; Chordata; Actinopteri; Perciformes; Percidae. The transcript has a single exon. The record is from RefSeq and is a predicted model, not a curated record.
UCACUCGGGUUCUUCAUAAUGCACAAGACUUUCCCCUUUUACUAAAGACUUCCUUGGAGGGGAACGCCGAUGAGUGAAACUAUUUUUGGUGGGAUUUGCUUUUUGGCCGAGC